UGCCUGGUCCACGGUCGCAAGGCCGCGCGUAUCGGAGUACGUCUGCCAUCCUUCUAGUUAACUGGCUAUACUUAACUGUGUGGUCAGCAACCUAGAUCUUUUACUUUGAAAAAAUUAGAGUGUUUAAAGCAGGCUCGCGCUGCGAAUACAUUAGCAUGGAAUAAUAAUUUAGGACUUUGCUUCUAUUUUAUUGGUUUCUAGGGGUAAAGUAAUGAUUGAUAGGGAUAGUUGGGGGUGCUAGUAUUCAUCGGCCAGAGGUGAAAUUCUUGGAUUCGAUGAAGUCUAGCUUAUGCGAAAGCAUUCACCAAGGAUGUCUUCUUUAAUCAAGAACGAAAGUUGGGGGAUCGAAGACGAUCAGAUACCGUCGUAGUCUCAACCAUAAACUAUACCGACUAGGGAUUAGUGGAAGUUGCUAUAUCGACUCCAUUAGCACCUUAUGAGAAAUCAGAAGUCUUUGGGUUCUGGGGGGAGUAUGGUCGCAAGGCUGAAACUUAAAGGAAUUGACAGAAGGGCACCACCAGGAGUGGAGCCUGCGGCUUAAUUUGACCCAACACGGGGAAACUUACCAGGUCCGGACAUAGUGAGGAUUGACAGAUUGAAGUUCUUUCUUGAUUCUAUGGGUGGUGGUUCAUGGCCGUUCUUAGUUGGUGGAGUGAUUUGUCUGGUUAAUUCCGUUAACGAACGAGACCUCGACCUGCUAAAUAGUAUGACGUAGGCUCUGUCUAUGGACAUGACUUCUUAGAGGGACUGUCGGUUUUUAGCCGAAGGAAGUUCGAGGCAAUAACAGGUCUGUGAUGCCCUUAGAUGUUCUGGGCCGCACGCGCGCUACACUGAUACGUGCAUCGAGCUUACAACCUUGGCUGGGAGGCCUGGGUAAUCUUUGAAAAGCGUAUCGUGCUGGGGAUAGAUUAUUGUAAUUAUUAAUCUUCAACGAGGAAUUCCUAGUAAGCGCGAGUCAUCAACUCGCACUGAUUACGUCCCUGCCCUUUGUACACACCGCCCGUCGCUGCUACCGAUUGAAUGCAUUAGUGAGCUUGAGGGAUCGUUUAGCUUGAGGGUCAAACUUCGAGUUAAGUGAGAACUCACGCAAACUUGCGCAUUUAGAGGAAGCAAAAGUCGUAACAAGGUUUCCGUAGGUGAACCUGCGGAAG
This 1151-nucleotide ribosomal RNA is filed under the name metagenome. RNAcentral describes it as "SSU rRNA". It matches the Rfam family "Eukaryotic small subunit ribosomal RNA", at positions 652 to 1823 of the family's 1831-position model. The record is from RNAcentral.